UUGGGGAUUUUCAGUACCUGUCAGUGAAUGGGCCUCAUCAAGCUGUGAGCCAAAUCCAGGAGCUCUGUUUGCAAUGGCUGCAGCCAGAGAUCCUCACCAAGGAGCAGAUGAUAGAGCAACUAGUGCUGACACAGUUUCUGAGCACCCUGCCAGAGGAGAUUCAGACAUGGGUGAGGUCAAAACAGCCCAAGAACAGCAAAGA
RNAcentral lists this long non-coding RNA (202 nucleotides) under Homo sapiens (human). Its description in RNAcentral is "non-protein coding lnc-PEG3-1:1". The record is from RNAcentral. Lineage: Eukaryota; Metazoa; Chordata; Mammalia; Primates; Hominidae.